AAGUAAAUAGUGAAAUCCUGGGGCUCAACCUCACGGGCUAUUAUUCAAACUUGCAAACUCGAGAAUGGUAGAGGUAACUGGAAUUUCUUGUGUAGGAGUGAAAUCCGUAGAUAUAAGAAGGAACACCAAUGGCGUAGGCAGGUUACUGGACCAUUUCUGACACUGAGGCACGAAAGCGUGGGGAGCGAACGGGGAUUAGAUACCCCGGUAGUCCACGCCGUAAACGAUGGAUACUA
RNAcentral lists this ribosomal RNA (236 nucleotides) under uncultured Candidatus Saccharibacteria bacterium. Its description in RNAcentral is "partial 16S ribosomal RNA". It matches the Rfam family "Bacterial small subunit ribosomal RNA", at positions 585 to 818 of the family's 1533-position model. Lineage: Bacteria; Candidatus Saccharimonadota. The record is from RNAcentral.